Molecule: ribosomal RNA, 606 nt
Filed under: uncultured Allobosea sp.
Lineage: Bacteria; Pseudomonadati; Pseudomonadota; Alphaproteobacteria; Hyphomicrobiales; Alloboseaceae
Description: bacterial SSU rRNA
Rfam family: Bacterial small subunit ribosomal RNA
Source: RNAcentral
UACCAUGCAGUCGACGAGCUCUUCGGAGCUAGUGGCAGACGGGUGAGUAACGCGUGGGAACGUGCCUUUCGGUUCGGAAUAACUCAGGGAAACUUGAAUUAAUACCGGAUACGCCCUUCGGGGGAAAGAUUUAUCGCCGAAAGAUCGGCCCGCGUCUGAUUAGCUAGUUGGUGAGGUAAGAGCUCACCAAGGCGACGAUCAGUAGCUGGUCUGAGAGGAUGAUCAGCCACACUGGGACCGAGACACGGCCCAGACUCCUACGGGAGGCAGCAGUGGGGAAUAUUGGACAAUGGGCGCAAGCCUGAUCCAGCCAUGCCGCGUGAGUGAUGAAGGCCUUAGGGUUGUAAAGCUCUUUUGUCCGGGAAGGUAAUGACUGUACCGGAAGAAUAAGCCCCGGCUAACUUCGUGCCAGCAGCCGCGGUAAUACGAAGGGGGCUAGCGUUGCUCGGAAUCACUGGGCGUAAAGGGCGCGUAUGCGGACUUUUAAGUCGGAAGUGAAAGCCCAGGGCUCAACCCUGGAAUUGCCUUCGAUACUGGGAGUCUUGAGUUCGGAAGAAGUUGGUGGAACUGCGAGUGUAGAGGUGAAAUUCCUAGAUAUUCGCAAUA